Lytechinus pictus (painted urchin) is the source of this 798-nucleotide long non-coding RNA. RefSeq lists it as uncharacterized. NCBI's taxonomy places the organism in Eukaryota, Metazoa, Echinodermata, Echinoidea, Temnopleuroida, Toxopneustidae. The record is from RefSeq and is a predicted model, not a curated record. The transcript has 3 exons.
UAAUAAUUCCAUGACAUUUGCUCCGCUCUAAAUUGCACACACCAAUGGAAUGACCACUUCAACUCUGCACCAUAACACGUUCCUCAAUUUACUACACAUCGUAUAUGUAUGAAGUGGAUUCGGUUGAGGCCUCUUUGUAACUUGUCGCUUUACGCGACCUUAUUAUUCGAUCGAUCCUUCGUUUAGAUAGAGGUAGAGUCGAGGAAUCUCAGUUGUAUCACCUAACCACAUCAUGGCUCAAGAGCAACAACCCCUUGCCUACCCACCACCCCAGCCAGGCGGCCCAGCGGCUCCACCAGGAGCUUACCCACCUGGAGCCGUUGGUGCCCCUCCUGGGGUUCCUGGUGCCCCUGGAGCUCCGGGACAGUGGAUGCAGGCUCCUGCUCCUCCUAGCAACUGCCCUCCAGGUCUAGAGUACCUGACCCAGAUUGACCAACUUCUUGUUCACCAGAAGACAGAACUCUUAGAAGGUAGGUUCAUGUACAGUUUUUUCUUCACAUUUAUAAUAGUAAUAAUUAUAAUUUACAUAGCGCAUCCAUAUUUAAAUUGUAAAUUUCAGACAUCUUACUGAAAUUAGAAUACAAAACAAUAAUGCUUGCGACACUUGGAUGUGGUCAUAGACAAGAUGCAAGCUGCCAGUGUAACAAGUGCUUGACAUAAUUGUAAACAAAUGUAGGCAAAUGAAAAAUGACCUGAAAAGACAAAUCAGUGCAUCUACAUGUAGCAGUGGAUUAUCUGGUUAAAUAUUUCUUAUAAAGGGAUUUAUUAAAACAAAGAAUGUUCUGUAUCAUUAUAUUC